RNAcentral lists this microRNA precursor (103 nucleotides) under Mustela putorius furo (domestic ferret). Its description in RNAcentral is "miRNA (ENSMPUG00000023343.1)". The record is from RNAcentral. Lineage: Eukaryota; Metazoa; Chordata; Mammalia; Carnivora; Mustelidae.
AUUAAUUUCAAUUUUUUAGUGUAUAUAUAUACAUAUAUAUAUACACACACACACUAAUAUACAUAUACAUAUGUGUGUGUGUGUGUGUGUAUACACAUGUAAA